UGGGGAAUCUUAGACAAUGGGCGAAAGCCUGAUCUAGCGAUGCCGCGUGAGUGACGAAGGCCCUAGGGUCGUAAAGCUCUUUCGCCAGGGAUGAUAAUGACAGUACCUGGUAAAGAAACCCCGGCUAACUCCGUGCCAGCAGCCGCGGUAAUACGGAGGGGGUUAGCGUUGUUCGGAAUUACUGGGCGUAAAGCGCACGUAGGCGGAUUAGUCAGUCAGAGGUGAAAUCCCAGGGCUCAACCCUGGAACUGCCUUUGAUACUGCUAGUCUUGAGUUCGAGAGAGGUGAGUGGAAUUCCGAGUGUAGAGGUGAAAUUCGUAGAUAUUCGGAGGAACACCAGUGGCGAAGGCGGCUCACUGGCUCGAUACUGACGCUGAGGUGCGAAAGCGUGGGGAGCAAACAGGAUUAGAUACCCCCGUAGUCC
This 424-nucleotide ribosomal RNA is filed under the name uncultured prokaryote. Its description in RNAcentral is "bacterial SSU rRNA". It matches the Rfam family "Bacterial small subunit ribosomal RNA", at positions 355 to 796 of the family's 1533-position model. The record is from RNAcentral.